Marinobacter sp. BSs20148 is the source of this 180-nucleotide non-coding RNA. It matches the Rfam family "6S / SsrS RNA". From Rfam's summary of the family: E. coli 6S RNA was the first non coding RNA to be sequenced, but its function was unknown until recently. It consists of 184 nucleotides that fold into an extended hairpin structure with a large single-stranded internal bulge. The 6S RNA specifically associates with RNA polymerase holoenzyme containing the sigma70 specificity factor. Lineage: Bacteria; Pseudomonadati; Pseudomonadota; Gammaproteobacteria; Pseudomonadales; Marinobacteraceae. The record is from Rfam.
ACCUUCCUGGGUUGUGCGCUCGUCGGGUACGUCCUCGAGCCGAUGCGCUUUACCCAGGUGGCCACUUUAGGGCAUUGUGAGCAUGUCCCCUGCGGGGGAAAGCCUAAUAUGUCACAGCGGUCACCGACCUUGAACUUGGGUUCAAGGACCUACAUCCGAUAACGGCAGCCCGGGAAGCUU